GGACGAACGCUGGCGGCGCGCCUAAUACAUGCAAGUUGAGCGCUGAAGGUUGGUACUUGUACCAACUGGAUGAGCAGCGAACGGGUGAGUAACGCGUGGGGAAUCUGCCUUUGAGCGGGGGACAACAUUUGGAAACGAAUGCUAAUACCGCAUAAAAACUUUAAACACAAGUUUUAAGUUUGAAAGAUGCAAUUGCAUCACUCAAAGAUGAUCCCGCGUUGUAUUAGCUAGUUGGUGAGGUAAAGGCUCACCAAGGCGAUGAUACAUAGCCGACCUGAGAGGGUGAUCGGCCACAUUGGGACUGAGACACGGCCCAAACUCCUACGGGAGGCAGCAGUAGGGAAUCUUCGGCAAUGGACGAAAGUCUGACCGAGCAACGCCGCGUGAGUGAAGAAGGUUUUCGGAUCGUAAAACUCUGUUGGUAGAGAAGAACGUUGGUGAGAGUGGAAAGCUCAUCAAGUGACGGUAACUACCCAGAAAGGGACGGCUAACUACGUG
RNAcentral lists this ribosomal RNA (498 nucleotides) under uncultured bacterium. RNAcentral describes it as "partial 16S ribosomal RNA". It matches the Rfam family "Bacterial small subunit ribosomal RNA", at positions 27 to 507 of the family's 1533-position model. The record is from RNAcentral.